RNAcentral lists this ribosomal RNA (249 nucleotides) under uncultured bacterium. RNAcentral describes it as "partial 16S ribosomal RNA". It matches the Rfam family "Bacterial small subunit ribosomal RNA", at positions 102 to 339 of the family's 1533-position model. The record is from RNAcentral.
ACGGGUGAGUAACGCGUGGGUAAUCUACCUUUUAGUGGGGAAUAACGAUCCGAAAGGAUUGGUAAUACCGCAUGAGAUCCAUGACUGGAAUGUUGUGGAUGAAAGCCGGGGACCGCAAGGCCUGGCGCUAGAAGAGGAGCCCGCGUCUGAUUAGUUAGUUGGUGGGGUAAUGGCCUACCAAGACAUCGAUCAGUAGCCGGCCUGAGAGGGUGAUCGGCCACACUGGAACUGAGACACGGUCCAGACUCC